GCCCAGCUGGCUCAAUGGUAGAGCAUUGAGCUUCUAAAAUGAUACUCAAAGGUUGUGGGUUCGAGUCCCACGUUGGGCU
Daldinia caldariorum is the source of this 79-nucleotide non-coding RNA. The record is from the annotation of a RefSeq genome assembly. NCBI's taxonomy places the organism in Eukaryota, Fungi, Ascomycota, Sordariomycetes, Xylariales, Hypoxylaceae.